GGCUUUGCACAGUGGCAGUAUCGUAGUCAAUGAGGUUUAUCUGAGGUGCGAUUAUUGCUAAUAGAGA
RNAcentral lists this small nuclear RNA (67 nucleotides) under Erinaceus europaeus (western European hedgehog). RNAcentral describes it as "U4 spliceosomal RNA". It matches the Rfam family "U4 spliceosomal RNA", at positions 1 to 67 of the family's 138-position model. From Rfam's summary of the family: U4 small nuclear RNA (U4 snRNA) is a component of the major U2-dependent spliceosome. The structure of U4 snRNA from yeast and human has been reported. Lineage: Eukaryota; Metazoa; Chordata; Mammalia; Eulipotyphla; Erinaceidae. The record is from Rfam by way of RNAcentral.